Pseudomyrmex gracilis is the source of this 615-nucleotide long non-coding RNA. RefSeq lists it as uncharacterized. The record is from RefSeq and is a predicted model, not a curated record. Lineage: Eukaryota; Metazoa; Arthropoda; Insecta; Hymenoptera; Formicidae. The transcript has 3 exons.
UGUAAAUCGAGUUGUGGUCAAAAAAUCUUGAGCCAAAUACGAUUGACUUCAGCAGAUCGCAAUAAACUUUGUCAUUUGAUUAUUGACAAACUUCUUAGCAAAUCUAAAAAAAUAACUUCUGAACAAUUUCAAGACUGGUCUGCAGCAAUAAGUAAUGUUAUUAAAUAUGAAAAAGCAUCGACGUACUAUGUUCCAUCGAAUGCAAAAUUUAAACGUCUUGCUAGCGGUAAACUUUGGGAUAAGUACAAUAAUCUAAAAAAAUACAUCAAGCAACAAAAAGCAAUAGAUGAAGACGAAAAUAUCGAAAAUAUCCCUGAUUGUCAACAAGAAAUAUUACUCAAAUUACGUGCAAUUCAACCGGAUGAUCCAAAUCUAAAAUAUCUAUGGAAAGAAACAUUUAAGGCAAGGAAUAGAGGGACUUCAAUUAUUAAUUAUUAUGAAGAAUAUCCUAUCUUAAAAACUUCUAUUGGUGCCAUAUUGUUACAAACUGAUUUUGAGACAGAAACAGGAAUAGAUGCGCAUAGUUUUCCAAAAAAGUGGUCUACAAUUGCUCCAUAUAUAUUAGAUCUUGCUGCAAAAAAAGAAAUAUGCCCAUNAUUGUGUGAACUGCAUAAU